Molecule: long non-coding RNA, 2407 nt
Filed under: Piliocolobus tephrosceles (Ugandan red Colobus)
Lineage: Eukaryota; Metazoa; Chordata; Mammalia; Primates; Cercopithecidae
Description: lncRNA (ENSPTEG00000019214.1)
Source: RNAcentral
AAUAUAAAUACUGAUAAAAUAAAAGAAUUAAAACAAAAACAAUUUUUAAAUAUAUUUUUUUUUUCAUUAUAUUUGUUUUUUAUUUAUUAUUCUAGUAGUAGUAUAUUAUGGAAUGUAACAAAAAUUUUUAUUUUUUUUUAUCAGUUUGAACAAUAUAAACAAGAAAUUACUUCUUACAUGCACAAGUUAGAACACCAUAUAAAUUAUUUAAUAUAUAAGCAAAAUGAUAUAACAAACUGUGACAAACACAUUUUGUUAAAAUGUUUAUUGGCCCUGCUGAACUCGAGCAAAACUGUAACUGUUGGUAUUCAAAGUGGCAUACAAAGUGGCAUACAGGGCAACAUACAGGACAGCAUACAGGGCGACAUACAGGACAGCAUACAGGACAGCAUACAGAACAACAUACAGGAAAGCAUACAGAGCAACAUACAGAGCAACAUACAGAGCAACAUACAAUUCGAAGAGGAAUACAACUUUUGUAAUUAUUUCAACAACAGUUCCGAAUUCCAAUGUAAUGAAGUAUUUGAUUUGAAUUUUGAAAAGUCGUUUAAAUACGAUGAUACUUUUUUUUUAGGAGUGGCAAAUAAAAAAAUGGUUAAAGAUAAUAAUUGGAAUAAAGAAAUUAGUAACAGCAAAAAUGAUAUAAACAGUUGGAACGAAAAAAGAGAAAAUACUGAUGGGAAGAUAUGGAAUAUAAAUGGAAGAACUGAAGAAUUAAAAACAAGUCAUGGUUAUAUUGAUAAGGGAAACGAUAACACCAACAAGAGUAUGGAAAGGAGUAUGGACAGGAGUAUGCAAAAGAGUAUGGAAAACGCCACACACGAUAAUAAUGAUAAUAAAGAAAGUGACAUAAUGAAGAAACUUGAUUUGAUCAUAAAAAAAAAUAAUGAAUAUAUUGAAAAAAAUUGGCUAAAAGAGUCAACUACCUUUUUUUUAAUAAACCAAACUGUUCACUUAAAAAUAUAUUUUAAAAUAGAUAAAGAAAACAGUUCAUUAUGUUUACUUUUUAAUUUAUUUGAUAAACAAGUUAAAAAUGUACACCUUCGUACGUGUUUCGAUAUAAUAGAGUAUGACAUAGAACUUUACCCCAAAACAAAUAAUUUUGUUUUAGUCGAAAGUGAUCAGGGUAUAUUUUAUAAUUCUAAAGGAUUAACUGGGGGUAAUACCAACAGUAAUGUCGGUAGUAAUGUAGGUAGUAAAGGAGAUAGUAAAGGAGAUAGUAAAGGAGAUAGUAACGACGACAGUAAUGACGACAAUAACGACGACAGUAAUGACGACAAUAACGACGACAGUAAUGACGACAGUAACGACGACAGUAACAGCGACAGUAUUGGUUACGCUUCUGAUAGUUCUAAAAAAAUGAAUAAUAAUAUACCCAAAGACAACUAUAAUAAAAAAAAAAAAAACAGAUUAAUAAGUUUUACUAAUUUACAAAACAAUACAAGGAAUAUAUUUAUUACUAUAAAAUUUAAAAACAACACACCCUUUAUUCAUUUAAAAUAUAAUUAUAUUUGUUACUCAAAAAAAUAUAAAAAUAAAAAGUUAAUAAUUCCGUAUGUGUUUACUGACCCAUGUCCAUUGUCGAUAAGCGAGUUUAAAAACGUAAACAAAAAGAAAACAUCCUGGAUUAACAGAACUUAUGAUACAGAAGUAGAAAAUAACGUGAACAUAACAAAGUUGUUGUUUAUUUAUUUUAUGUUUUUAUCGAAAUAUUUAGGAAUGUGUUUUUUUAAUAUGAAAAAUAUUUUUUUAAAUUUACAACAAAAUAAACACUUAAAUGAAUUUCGUGCCAUUUUUAGUUUCAAAAGUUGUACACAUGAACAACCUGUACAGUUUGUAAAAGAUACAAUAGUGUUACUGAUAAACGUUCAACAUACAAAAAAGGAAGAAGCAAACCAAAAUUGUAACUACUCACUUUACACGUUUAAUACAAAAAUCAAAAUAGUGAAUAAUUCAAACGAACAAGUUGGCACUAAAUUAUUGGAAUAUUUCGAAUUUUAUUUAAUUCAACUUUUAAAAAAAAAAAUUAAAAUAAAUUCUGACGUUAUUAAUUAUGCUAUUCUUAACCAGUAGAUCUUAACCAGUAGAUCUUAUCCAAUAGAUAAUUUCGAAUGUAUCAUAAACAAAAACAAAAUAUGGGCAAAAAAAAAAAAGGAAAAAAAGGGAGAGUAUAUUUAUUUACCCACAGCUUGCAUUUAUCUUAUAAUUACUUAUCUUAUAAUUACUUAUCUUAUACUUACUUACCUUAUAUUUAUCUCACUUUUUUUUUUUUUUUUUUUUUUUUUUUUCCGUUUAAAUCUUUUACAUAGUGUAUGACAAGCAAUUUCUAUUUAUACAUAUAAUAUUCACUUUUAUAAAUUAAAAAUGAGAGAAUAAAUUUUUAUAAUUUUUUUUUUUUUUUUUUUUU